CCUACGGGAGGCAGCAGUGGGGAAUAUUGCACAAUGGGGGAAACCCUGAUGCAGCAACGCCGCGUGAGUGAAGAAGUAUUUCGGUAUGUAAAGCUCUAUCAGCAGGGAAGAAGAUGACGGUACCUGACCAAGCAGCCCCGGCAAACUACGUGCCAGCAGCCGCGGUAGUACGUAGGGGGCAAGCGUUAUCCGGAUUUACUGGGUGUAAAGGGGGCGCAGACGGCAGUGCAAGUCUGGGGUGAAAGCCAGGGGCCAAACCCCGAAACUGCUCUGGAAACUGUGCGGCUGUAGUACUGGGGGGGCAGGCGGAAUGCCUGGUGUAGCGGUGAAAUGCGUAGAUAUUAGGAGGAACACCAGUGGCGAAGGCGGCCGGCUGGACAGUAACUGACGUUGAGGCUCGAAGGCGUGGGGAGCAAACAGGAUAGAUACCCGAGUAGUC
Molecule: ribosomal RNA, 439 nt
Filed under: uncultured bacterium
Lineage: Bacteria
Description: partial 16S ribosomal RNA
Rfam family: Bacterial small subunit ribosomal RNA
Source: RNAcentral